CAGCCGCCGCGGUAAUACCGGCGGCCCGAGUGGCGGUCACUAUUAUUGGGCUUAAAGCGUCCGUAGCCGGGUUGGGAAAUCCUCCGGGAAAUCUGGCCGCUUAACGGUCAGAAUGCCGGAGGAUACUCCCAGCCUAGGGAGCGGGAGAGGCCGAGGGGAUUCCCGGAGUAGGGGGGAAAUCCUAUAAUCCCGGGAGGACCACCUGUGGCGAAGGCGCUCGGCUGGAACGCGGCCGACGGUGAGGGACGAAGGCCAGGGGAGCAAACCGGAUUAGAUACCCGGGUAGUCCUGGCUGUAAACGAUGCGGACUUUGUGUCGGACAAGCUAUGAGCUUGUCCGGUGCCGGAGGGAAACCGUUAAGUCCGCCGCCUGGGGAGUACGGCCGCAAGGCUGAAACUUAAAGGAAUUGGCGGG
This 414-nucleotide ribosomal RNA is filed under the name uncultured microorganism. Its description in RNAcentral is "bacterial SSU rRNA". It matches the Rfam family "Archaeal small subunit ribosomal RNA", at positions 459 to 872 of the family's 1478-position model. The record is from RNAcentral.